AUGAGAGGUACCGAGAGCGGGGCGAGGCGGUGCGGGCAGCGGUCGUCAAGCGCGACCCACUCGCCGGAGUUGGGGUCGUUCCAGAUGACGAGGUCGCGGUUGAGGAGCUGGAACGGGGUGGGCACGCGUGGGUCCAGGUCCUCCACGAGCGAGACCGGGUACCAUCAUCCUGCUCUGCGCCUUGGUGUGAGGCGUCUGCCCCUCCGUUGCCGGCGUCGGGGCUCUGAAGCGCUCCGCCUCCACGUCGUAUCGAAGCACCGCGAAGUACUCGACCCGCUCCUCGAGGAAGAGCGCGUAAGUGCGCACCCGUGCGGAGUAGUCCUAGGCCAGGUGGCCAGAGUCGUCCUUGAAGUUGGACAUCUGCAGCGUGUGUCCCCGGCACCGCCCGUGGCUCAGCAGCUCCUCCCUAAACGCGCCGCCGUCGCCCGCCCGUGGCUCAGUCCGGAGAUGAGGUUGGGGCAGAGUCAAAGUCGACCGCGGAGGGCGACCUGCGGCGCGGGGGAGUGGAAGGGGAGGGUGGGGCUUGAAGUGGAGGCCGCGCGGAGGCGGGCGAGGAGGAUGGGGUGCGUGCUGAGGCGGACAAUGGCGAAUCGAGAUCUGAGGGAGGGAGAGCGUGGCUUGCAGAUGAGGAUCGAGGGGAGGGUCGGGCGUCGUCGGUGGCGUUGGAGAGGAGAUGGGGGGAGGAGGAGUGCGAUGGGAGUUAGGGUUUGGGUCGGUGGCUGUGGGUGGGGUUUGGGUAGGUGGCUGCGGGUGGGGUUUUCUUUUUCAUUUUUUUCAUUUUUGUAG
RNAcentral lists this ribosomal RNA (786 nucleotides) under Triticum aestivum (bread wheat). RNAcentral describes it as "partial small subunit ribosomal RNA". The record is from RNAcentral. Lineage: Eukaryota; Viridiplantae; Streptophyta; Magnoliopsida; Poales; Poaceae.